AGUCCAUGGUGUGGGCAGCAUCACAAUAGGUCCUUGUACCUCUCCCAAGUGUCAUACAUCGGCUCAUCAUCAAACUACACAAAAGAAGAUAUAUCAUUUCUAAGUUU
Molecule: non-coding RNA, 107 nt
Organism: Ricinus communis (castor bean)
Lineage: Eukaryota; Viridiplantae; Streptophyta; Magnoliopsida; Malpighiales; Euphorbiaceae
Source: Rfam